AGUGAACGCUGGCGGUAGGCCUAACACAUGCAAGUCGAACGGCAGCACAGUAAGAGCUUGCUCUUACGGGUGGCGAGUGGCGGACGGGUGAGGAAUACAUCGGAAUCUACUUUUUCGUGGGGGAUAACGUAGGGAAACUUACGCUAAUACCGCAUACGACCUACGGGUGAAAGCAGGGGAUCUUCGUACCUUGCGCGAUUGAAUGAGCCGAUGUCGGAUUAGCUAGUUGGCGGGGUAAAGGCCCACCAAGGCGACGAUUCGUAGCUGGUCUGAGAGGAUGAUCAGCCACACUGGAACUGAGACACGGUCCAGACUCCUACGGGAGGCAGCAGUGGGGAAUAUUGGACAAUGGGCGCAAGCCUGAUCCAGCCAUACCGCGUGGGUGAAGAAGGCCUUCGGGUUGUAAAGCCCUUUUGUUGGGAAAGAAAAGCAGCAGGUUAAUACCCCGCUGCUCUGACGGUACCAAAAGAAUAAGCACCGGCUAACUUCGUG
Molecule: ribosomal RNA, 492 nt
Filed under: uncultured bacterium
Lineage: Bacteria
Description: partial 16S ribosomal RNA
Rfam family: Bacterial small subunit ribosomal RNA
Source: RNAcentral